This 215-nucleotide long non-coding RNA is filed under the name Physcomitrium patens. RNAcentral describes it as "long non-coding RNA (PPAT_LNC009689)". The record is from RNAcentral. Lineage: Eukaryota; Viridiplantae; Streptophyta; Bryopsida; Funariales; Funariaceae.
ACAUCUCUUGGAGUUCUAGCUCACCUUUCUGGUGUUGUUCUUGUACUCAUCUGUUUAAUCUAGUUCUGCCACUUCUUCUUGAACUUCUUGUUAGAUUUCAAGUCUGUAUUUUGUGUCCGUGACAUAAGUCUUUUAAAGAUUAUGACAACUUUAAUUUGGACUGCUAUUCUUAUAUAAAGAUUUACUUUUAAUAUAUCUAUUUUUUCAAUUUUCUC